This 730-nucleotide ribosomal RNA is filed under the name uncultured beta proteobacterium. RNAcentral describes it as "bacterial SSU rRNA". It matches the Rfam family "Bacterial small subunit ribosomal RNA", at positions 51 to 774 of the family's 1533-position model. Lineage: Bacteria; Pseudomonadati; Pseudomonadota; Betaproteobacteria. The record is from RNAcentral.
ACACAUGCAAGUCGAACGGCAGCACGGGUGCUUGCACCUGGUGGCGAGUGGCGAACGGGUGAGUAAUACAUCGGAACAUGUCCUGUAGUGGGGGAUAGCCCGACGAAAGCCGGAUUAAUACCGCAUACGAUCUACGGAUGAAAGCGGGGGACCUUCGGGCCUCGCGCUAUAGGGUUGGCCGAUGGCUGAUUAGCUAGUUGGUGGGGUAAAGGCCUACCAAGGCGACGAUCAGUAGCUGGUCUGAGAGGACGACCAGCCACACUGGGACUGAGACACGGCCCAGACUCCUACGGGAGGCAGCAGUGGGGAAUUUUGGACAAUGGGCGAAAGCCUGAUCCAGCAAUGCCGCGUGUGUGAAGAAGGCCUUCGGGUUGUAAAGCACUUUUGUCCGGAAAGAAAUCCUUGGUUCUAAUAUAGCCGGGGGAUGACGGUACCGGAAGAAUAAGCACCGGCUAACUACGUGCCAGCAGCCGCGGUAAUACGUAGGGUGCGAGCGUUAAUCGGAAUUACUGGGCGUAAAGCGUGCGCAGGCGGUUUGCUAAGACCGAUGUGAAAUCCCCGGGCUCAACCUGGGAACUGCAUUGGUGACUGGCAGGCUAGAGUAUGGCAGAGGGGGGUAGAAUUCCACGUGUAGCAGUGAAAUGCGUAGAGAUGUGGAGGAAUACCGAUGGCGAAGGCAGCCCCCUGGGCCAAUACUGACGCUCAUGCACGAAAGCGUGGGGAGCAAACA